This 450-nucleotide ribosomal RNA is filed under the name uncultured Glomeromycotina. RNAcentral's name for it is "SSU rRNA". It matches the Rfam family "Eukaryotic small subunit ribosomal RNA", at positions 569 to 1023 of the family's 1831-position model. Lineage: Eukaryota; Fungi; Glomeromycota. The record is from RNAcentral.
AGCAGCCGCGGUAAUUCCAGCUCCAAUAGCGUAUAUUAAAGUUGUUGCAGUUAAAAAGCUCGUAGUUGAAUUUCGGGGUUAGUAGAUUGGUCAUGCCUCUGGUAUGCACUGGUCUUACUGAUUCCUCCUUCCUGAUGAACCGUAAUGCCAUUAAUUUGGUGUUGCGGGGAAACUGGACUGUUACUUUGAAAAAAUUAGAGUGUUUAAAGCAGGCUAACGCUUGAAUACAUUAGCAUGGAAUAAUGAAAUAGGACGUUCGAUCUUAUUUUGUUGGUUUCUAGGAUUGACGUAAUGAUUAAUAGGGAUAGUUGGGGGCAUUAGUAUUCAAUUGUCAGAGGUGAAAUUCUUGGAUUUAUUGAAGACUAACUACUGCGAAAGCAUUUGCCAAGGAUGUUUUCAUUAAUCAAGAACGAAAGUUAGGGGAUCGAAGACGAUCAGAUACCGUCGUAG